RNAcentral lists this ribosomal RNA (225 nucleotides) under uncultured bacterium. RNAcentral's name for it is "partial 16S ribosomal RNA". It matches the Rfam family "Bacterial small subunit ribosomal RNA", at positions 111 to 334 of the family's 1533-position model. The record is from RNAcentral.
UAACGCGUGAGGAACCUGCCUCAAAGAGGGGGACAACAGUUGGAAACGACUGCUAAUACCGCAUAAGCCCGCAGCUCGGCAUCGAGCAGAGGGAAAAGGAGUGAUCCGCUUUGAGAUGGCCUCGCGUCCGAUUAGCUAGUUGGUGAGGUAAUGGCCCACCAAGGCGACGAUCGGUAGCCGGACUGAGAGGUUGAACGGCCACAUUGGGACUGAGACACGGCCCAG